This is a long non-coding RNA of Lepidothrix coronata (blue-crowned manakin), 377 nucleotides long. RefSeq lists it as uncharacterized. Lineage: Eukaryota; Metazoa; Chordata; Aves; Passeriformes; Pipridae. The transcript has 3 exons. The record is from RefSeq and is a predicted model, not a curated record.
UUGAACCUGCUCAGCCAUUUUAGAAACAACCUUCCAGGCUUCUUUCUUCGAGUUUGCAGCUGAGAACGAAAACAAGAGACUCUUCUCUUGGUGGGAACCAACAGAAACACUGGGAUUAGAAACCCAUUUCAUAUUUUCAGCCCUCAUCCAGUGCCAGCUGGAAGCCAAAGAACCCCGUGAACAGUCAACAGAGGUCCCAGUGAGCAGCUGGAGUCUCCCUCCUGUCUGGACCCCUGUGACUGUGGCAGCUUGAUCCAAACCCCUUGGAGACCACAGACAGUUUUACAAACUAAAUUAAUCUACAGUUUUUUCAUCAGGUGUGCCAGUAGAUGCAGAGCAGCUCACAAGGGAAGUCAACUCAGUUCUUGCUGGUAUUA